GUAGGUGGCAAGCGUUGUCCGGAAUUAUUGGGCGUAAAGCGCGCGCAGGCGGUUCUUUAAGUCUGAUGUGAAAGCCCACGGGCUCAACCGUGGAGGGUCAUUGGAAACUGGAGAACUUGAGUACAGAAGAGGAAAGCGGAAUUCCACGUGUAGCGGUGAAAUGCGUAGAGAUGUGGAGGAACACCAGUGGCGAAGGCGGCUUUCUGGUCUGUAACUGACGCUGAGGCGCGAAAGCGUGGGGAGCAAACAGGAUUAGGUACCCUGAUAGUCCACGCCGUAAACGAUGAGUGCUAAGUGUUAGGGGGUUUCCGCCCCUUAGUGCUGCAGCUAACGCAUUAAGCACUCCGCCUGGGGAGUACGGCCGCAAAGGCUG
This 373-nucleotide ribosomal RNA is filed under the name uncultured organism. Its description in RNAcentral is "partial 16S ribosomal RNA". It matches the Rfam family "Bacterial small subunit ribosomal RNA", at positions 527 to 896 of the family's 1533-position model. The record is from RNAcentral.